This 66-nucleotide transfer RNA is filed under the name Scyllarides haanii. Its description in RNAcentral is "tRNA-Ile". The record is from RNAcentral. Lineage: Eukaryota; Metazoa; Arthropoda; Malacostraca; Decapoda; Scyllaridae.
GAUAUGAUGCCUGAUAAAAGGUUUGUCUUGAUAGGACAACUAAUGUAGCUAAACUACUCAUAUUAC